AAUCAACGCUGGCGGCGUGCCUCAGACAUGCAAGUCGAACGAUUAAAGCUCUCUUCGGAGAGUGUAUAGAGUGGCGCACGGGUGAGUAACACGUAAGUAAUCUACCCUCGAGUGGGGAAUAACAACCGGAAACGGUUGCUAAUACCGCAUAAUGCAGCGGCACCGCAAGGUGACAGUUGUUAAAGAUUUAUCGCUUGAGGAGGAGCUUGCGGCAGAUUAGCUAGUUGGUAGGGUAACGGCUUACCAAGGCUACGAUCUGUAACCGGUCCUAAGAGGACGGUCGGUCACACUGACACUGAAUAACGGGUCAGACUCCUACGGGAGGCAGCAGUCGGGAAUUUUGGGCAAUGGGCGAAAGCCUGACCCAGCAACGCCGCGUGAAGGAUGAAGUAUUUCGGUAUGUAAACUUCGAAAGAAUAGGAAGAAUUAAUGCCGGUACUAUUUAUAAGGCCCGGCUAACUACGUG
This 466-nucleotide ribosomal RNA is filed under the name uncultured bacterium. RNAcentral's name for it is "bacterial SSU rRNA". It matches the Rfam family "Bacterial small subunit ribosomal RNA", at positions 32 to 507 of the family's 1533-position model. The record is from RNAcentral.